This 567-nucleotide ribosomal RNA is filed under the name Colostethus latinasus. Its description in RNAcentral is "partial 16S ribosomal RNA". It matches the Rfam family "Bacterial large subunit ribosomal RNA", at positions 1831 to 2597 of the family's 2925-position model. The record is from RNAcentral. Lineage: Eukaryota; Metazoa; Chordata; Amphibia; Anura; Dendrobatidae.
CGCCUCUUGUUACCUAUAAGAGGUCCAGCCUGCCCAGUGACUCUGUUCAACGGCCGCGGUAUUCUGACCGUGCGAAGGUAGCGUAAUCACCUGUUCUUUAAAUGAGGACUAGUAUGAAUGGUCCCACGAAGGCUAUACUGUCUCCUUUUUCUAAUCAAUGAAACUAAUCUUCUCGUGAAGAAGCGAGAAUAAUUUUAUAAGACGAGAAGACCCUAUGGAGCUUUAAAUAACUAAAAAAUUGCAUUACCCCCUUCUUCCUCCUGAGCUACCACUCUUAUUUAAGCAUUUUUAUUUUUAAUUUUAGGUUGGGGUGACCACGGAGCAAAAUUUAACCUCCACGACGAAAGAGACUUCCUCUCUUAGCAAAAAGCUACUCCUUUAAGCAUCAGCAGACUGACCUUUUUGACCCAAUAAAUUGAUCAACGAACCAAGUUACCCUAGGGAUAACAGCGCAAUCUACUUCAAGAGCUCAUAUCGACAAGUAGGUUUACGACCUCGAUGUUGGAUCAGGGUAUCCUAGUGGUGCAGCCGCUACUAAUGGUUCGUUUGUUCAACGAUUAAAACCCU